RNAcentral lists this unclassified non-coding RNA (249 nucleotides) under uncultured bacterium. Its description in RNAcentral is "contains 16S-23S intergenic spacer region". It matches the Rfam family "Bacterial small subunit ribosomal RNA", at positions 524 to 776 of the family's 1533-position model. The record is from RNAcentral.
UACGAGUAGUGCAAGUGUUAUUCCUCUUGAUUGGGCGUAAAGGGUAGGUAGCGGUAUGGAUAGUUGGAAACAAAAAAUUAUGUAUGUUUAUUAUCCGUUUCUAAUACUUCCAUACUUGAGUAAUAGAAAAGACAGCGGAACUUUUGGCAUUAGAGUUGAAAUGCGUUGAAACCAAAGGGAACCCCGAAGGCGAAGGCAGCUGUCUGUCUAUUUCUGACGCUGAGCUACGAGGCAUGGGGAUCAAAUAGG